RNAcentral lists this ribosomal RNA (476 nucleotides) under uncultured bacterium. RNAcentral's name for it is "bacterial SSU rRNA". It matches the Rfam family "Bacterial small subunit ribosomal RNA", at positions 33 to 507 of the family's 1533-position model. The record is from RNAcentral.
ACGCUGGCGGCAUGCCUUACACAUGCAAGUCGAACGGCAGCGGACCUUCGGGUGCCGGCGAGUGGCGAACGGGUGAGUAAUAUAUCGGAACGUACCUUUCAGUGGGGAUAACGUAGCGAAAGUUACGCUAAUACCGCAUAUUCUGUGAGCAGGAAAGCAGGGGAUCGCAAGACCUUGCGCUGAUUGAGCGGCCGAUAUCAGAUUAGCUAGUUGGUGAGGUAAAGGCUCACCAAGGCGACGAUCUGUAGCGGGUCUGAGAGGAUGAUCCGCCACACUGGAACUGAGACACGGUCCAGACUCCUACGGGAGGCAGCAGUGGGGAAUUUUGGACAAUGGGCGCAAGCCUGAUCCAGCCAUGCCGCGUGAGUGAAGAAGGCCUUCAGGUUGUAAAGCUCUUUCGGCCGGGAAGAAAUCGCACGGGUUAAUACCCUGUGUGGAUGACGGUACCGGAAUAAGAAGCACCGGCUAACUACGUG